Molecule: non-coding RNA, 4070 nt
Organism: Podarcis lilfordi (Lilford's wall lizard)
Lineage: Eukaryota; Metazoa; Chordata; Lepidosauria; Squamata; Lacertidae
Source: the annotation of a GenBank genome assembly
ACCAUGGACUUGGUCCAAGCAGCCUUUUCUUAUGUUUUUAUGAUAGCCUGACCUGAUUUUUUUUAGCUUCCUGUACUUCUAAGGAUGUGGCCUACAGCAGUGGUUCUCAGACAUUUUUCUCUGAGCCACCGUUUCAGAAGAAGAAUCUGCUCACACCCACAGCAAAUUUUCUAGUGGUGAAAAACAAAAAAUACAUUGGAAAACACACCCAGUGUUGUCCUCAGUGUCACUAGAGGCUCUUGGAAAAGAGAUGAUGAUGAUAACAAUAACAAUAAUAAUAAUAAUUUAUUAUUUAAAUGCCACCCAUCUGGCUGGGUUACCCCAGCCACUCUGGGCGGCUUCCAACAGAAUAUUAAAAUACAAUAACCUAUUAAACAUUAAAAGCUUCCCUAAACAUCUAACUAUACAGGCAACUCCCCAUUCAUGUGUGUUCUGUUUGCUCGCAACCACACACACACACACAGAAGGGGAAAUGGAGGGCACCUGGUCAACCGAGCUUUGCUGUCACAGCCGACACAAGCGGGGAAUCUUCUUCCCUUCGUGCGAGCAGGAGGACAGAGGAAGACUCUCCUGGGCGCUCCCCAUUUUACGUAACUCAGCGUACGUGCACAAGGGCCCGUUACAGAACCCCUGCAUAAAUGGGGAGUCACCUGUAUCCUGCAAAUAACUAAAAAAAAUGGAAUCAUAGAAUUGUAGAGUUGAAAGGGACCCCUGGGUCAUCUAGUCCAACCCCCUUCCAAUGCAGGGGAAUCUCAGCUAAAGCAUCCAUGACAGAUGGCCAUCCAACCUCUGCUUAAAAACCUCCAAGGAAGGAGAGUCCACCACUUCCCGAGGGAGACCAUUCCAUGGUCAAACAGCUCUUACUGUCAGAAAGAGCACCUUUCUGAUGUUUAGUUUCAAUCUCCUUUCUUGUAAGUUGAAGCCAUGGGUCCGAGUCCUGCCCUCCAGAGCAGGAGAAAACAAGCUUUCCCCUGUUCCAUGUGACAGCCCUCGAGAUAUUUGAAGAUGGCUAUCGUAUCUCCUUUCAGUCUCCUCUUUUCCAGGCUAAACAUGCCCAGCUCCUUCAACCGUUCUUCAUCAGGCUUGGCUUCUGGACCCUUGAUCCACCUUGGUUACCCUCUUCUGCACACCUUCCAGCUUGUUCCAGUUACAGUGGUACCUCUGGAUGCAAACGGAAUCUGUUCCGGAGCCCCGUUCGCAUCCUGAAGCAAAUGCAACCCGCGUCUGCGUGUGCGCGGGUCACAAUUUGCCGCACACGCGCAUGAUGUCAUUUUGAGCAUCUGCGCAUGCGCGAGCAGCGAAACCCAAAACUAAUGCACUCUGUUACUUUUGGGUCGCCGCGGAGCACAGCCCGGAAAUGCUCAACCCGAAGCUACUUCAACCCGAGGUAUGACUGUAUUUGGAUACUGUUCAUAGAAUCAUAGAGUUGGAAGAGACCACAAGGGCCAUCGAGUCCAACCCCCUGCCAAGUCCAACCCCCUGUUGUUGUUGUUGAGUCGUUUAGUCGUGUCCGACUCUUCGUGACCCCCUGGACCAGAGCACGCCAGGCACUUCUGUCUUCCACUGCCUCCCGCAGUUCGGUCAAACUCAUGCUGGUAGCUUCGAGAACACUGUCCAACCAUCUCGUCCUCUGUCGUCCCCUUCUCCUUGUGCCCUCCAUCUUUCCCAACAUCAGGGUCUUUUCCAGGGAGUCUUCUCUUCUCAUGAGGUGGCCCAAGUAUUGGAGCCUCAGCUUCAGGAUCUGUCCUUCCAGUGAGCACUCAGGGCUGAUUUCCUUAAGAAUGGACAUGUUUGAUCUUCUUGCAGUCCAUGGGACUCUUGAGUCUCCUCCAGCACCAUAAUUCAAAAAUAAUUCAUAAUUCAUAAUUUGGAUACUAUGCUAUGCUAUAUUGAAAUGUUUAAACAUUUCUUUGUCCUUGAAUCUCCCUGCCACACUCGCCAUCCUCUCCUGCUAGGCCAGUGUGGCACACAUGCCCACAGCCUUUGAGAGCGACUGAGCUAUCGUUUCUAAGCAACAUGAAUUAGGUGCCAAGUGCAACUUACAGUUUGCCCCUCCUGCUCAACAAUAUCCUUUUAGCCGCAGGAAGAUUUUUGUUGAGCCUCGGCACGUUUCUCUAUUUGCAUUGGCAGCCAUCAAAUGGAGAUCCGAAUUGAAGGCUCGACAUCUCCAUGCCUUCAUCUUCAUUAUAGCUUGCAGCUAAAGAAAUACAAUGGCUACUGUUAGCCACAACGGCUAUGGCCUACCUGCAGGGUCAGAGAACGCCUGCUUCUGAAUCAACAGUAGAAGGCUAUUGCUCUUAUCUCCUGCUUUGUGGCCGCCCUGUUGGGGCAUCUUGUAGAUGAUCUCUCUUGCCCUGACCUAGCCACUGUGAUCCAUGCAACUGUCACCUCCAGCCUUGAUUAUUGUAAUUCGCUCUACGCGGGGCUGCCCUUGAGACUGACCUAGAAACUCCAGUGGGUGCAGAAUGCCGCGGCGAGACUCCUUACGGGGUCCUCGCCGCAGGAUCACAUUCACCCGGUUCUGUACCAGCUGCACUGGCUCCUGGUGGAGUACAGGAUCCAGUUUAAGGUGCUGGUUUUAACCUUUAAAGCCCUAUACGGACUAGGACCCUCGUACCUACAGGACCACCUCUCCUGGUAUGUCCCACGGAGGACCUUACGGUCUUCAAACAAAAACAUCCUGGAGGUCCCGGGCCACAGGGAGGUUAGGUUGGCCUCGACCAGAGCCAGGGCCUUUUCAGUACUGGCCCCAAUCUGGUGGGACGCUCUGUCACAAGAGACUAGGGUCCUGCGGGACUUGACAUCUUUCAGCAGGGCCUGCAAGACAGAGCUGUUCCACCAGGCCUUUGACCAAGGCACAGUCUGACCCCCUCCUUUGGUAAUCCUCACAGAACUCUAGCCCAAUGGUCGCCAUGAAUUUGAUUUUAAAAUGAAUUGAUUUUAGAAUGUUGUGUUACUUUUAUUGUUGUUAGCCACUCUGAGCCCGGCUUCGGCUGGGGAGGGCGGGAUAUAAAUAAAAAAUUAUUAUUAUUAUUAUUUAUUAUGAUCGCAGAGUUCAGGUCAAUGGACUAGACUGGCCUUGGCUCUGGUCCAAUAGCGAGAGAGAGUGAGUUGUGGAUUUUUUGCUUUGCAAGGCUGAGCACGAACUGAGAGUCAAGACAUGUCCUUUGCAGUCUCCUGGACCCGAGACCAAGGUCUACAAUAGCAGUAAUGGCCAUGGAGGUUUUUUUUUUAUAAGAUUGCACAGGAAGAGGCAAAGCAUCCCACGUUUUGGUUCUUCGUGAGACCUGCCUCCGCCGCCCACAAAAACACUCCCUGAUCUUUGGGGAUGAAAACGUAAAGAGCAAGUUUCAAGCGAGCGGAUCCUCUGAACGGCGUGGGUGUCAAGGUCACAGAGAAAGCCACUUUUGCUGCGGUUUCUGCGCAGGCGGGAAAAAGCCCGAGAAAAAGGAAAGGGUGGAGGAAACCGACUUACUCGAAUUCAGCAAAUAAAGGGGUGCGGUUAGGCAGAGGACCAGAUUUCUUAUUUUUAAUUCUACAUUAUAAAAGAACCAUUGUUUUGUUGCUGCUGCUGCUGCAGAUCCUUACAUGGGCUAAACCAGCCCAGCUUUUGCCAGCUUGGCACCUUCCAGAUGCUCUGGGUGCUGGGAGUUCUAGUUCAAAAACAUCUGGAGGGAAUCAGAUUGGCAAAGGCUGGACUAACCCCGUAGUUCCAGAAAAGGUCCGGCUCUUAUCGCAGCCAGAUUCUCAAGACAUUUCCAAGGACUCCUUUGCCAGCGGAACGGCACCUCAGCACCCCUUAUCUCAAGGAGGAAGCUGCGGGUUUUUACAGUUUUCGUGAUUUGUAACUGCCAGGUACGAACUGGGAUCUGAGGAUCAGGUUUUGCUAAGAGCGAUGCCAGCAGGAACAUUAAUUGCCGAGGAAGUCAGAGCCGGCCGUGUGAAAGAAGACCUCUCUUCCCAUUCAUUGAAACUUGCCUACCUGCGUGGUGCGAGGGGAGAGAUAUCACUCCGGGUUCAUUUAUUGUGGCGGGUUUUUUUCCUUCAAAUUUUUUAAAGUAAUUUUCCAG